Molecule: ribosomal RNA, 442 nt
Filed under: uncultured bacterium
Lineage: Bacteria
Description: partial 16S ribosomal RNA
Rfam family: Bacterial small subunit ribosomal RNA
Source: RNAcentral
CCUACGGGUGGCAGCAGUGGGGAAUAUUGCACAAUGGGCGAAAGCCUGAUGCAGCAACGCCGCGUGAAGGAAGAAGGGUUUCGGCUCGUAAACUUCUAUCAACAGGGACGAAAGAAAUGACGGUACCUGAAUAAGAAGCCCCGGCUAACUACGUGCCAGCAGCCGCGGUAAUACGGAGGAUGCGAGCGUUAUCCGGAUUCAUUGGGUUUAAAGGGUGCGCAGGCGGGCCUUUAAGCCGGCGGUGAAAUCGCGGGGCUCAACCCCGCCGAGCCGUCGGAACUGGGGGCCUUGAGUGCGGCGGAGGCAUGCGGAAUGCGCGGUGUAGCGGUGAAAUGCGUAGAUAUUAGGAGGAACACCAGUGGCGAAGGCGGCCUACUGGACGGUGACUGACGCUGAGGCUCGAAAGCGUGGGGAGCAAACAGGAUUAGAUACCCGAGUAGUC